Molecule: ribosomal RNA, 246 nt
Filed under: uncultured bacterium
Lineage: Bacteria
Description: partial small subunit ribosomal RNA
Rfam family: Bacterial small subunit ribosomal RNA
Source: RNAcentral
AGAAUCAACGCUGGCGGCGUGCCUAACACAUGCAAGUCGCACGAGAAAGGGUAGCAAUACCUGAGUAAAGUGGCGCACGGGUGAGUAACACGUGAAUUAUCUACCUCCGAGUGGGGAAUAAACUGAGAGAAAUCUUAGCUAAUACCGCAUAACACUUACGAGUCAAAGCAGCAAUGCGCUUGGAGAGGAGUUCGCGGCAGAUUAGUUAGUUGGCGGGGUAAUGGCCCACCAAGACGAUGAUCUGUA